This 1063-nucleotide long non-coding RNA is filed under the name Lathyrus oleraceus (garden pea). RNAcentral's name for it is "Pisum sativum (pea) long non-coding RNA (PSAT_LNC033297)". Lineage: Eukaryota; Viridiplantae; Streptophyta; Magnoliopsida; Fabales; Fabaceae. The record is from RNAcentral.
AGCGUUUGAAGCAUUGAGGUCACCCAUUUAAUCUGCUGCAAUCAAGCCGCCGCAACCCGAAAUUCAGGCUGAAGUGUUAAUGCUGCAACACAAACACACAAAAUCAGUUAACUCCAAAACAAAUUUUUCAAUUAAGUGAGUUACAGUGGUGAAAGUUUUUCUUACCAACAGUAGAGUUUUCCAAAUGAAGAGAAUUGAGAAGAGGGACCACUAGCUUGAGUAAAGACAAAACCUCCAAGCACCCUCCGUAUAGACACUUCCCACUACUCUGAGGAAGCUCAGCAACACAGCAGGAAACAGAGCAGAGAGCAGAGGGGAUGAGAGAUAUAUAAUAGGAGGUCACUGUUCAUGAGGGGGAGAGCCAGAAAAACCCUAAUUCCAUAUAGUAGCCGCCACUGAUCACUAACAAGGAAGAGAGAAUUCUGCAAGAACACAAAGAGCUGACUGUUCACACAAAUAAAAUCCUACCGUUGAACCACCCACCCUAAAUCUCAUUUUUCCCAUCAACCAUAGCAUCUUCCACCUUGGCUCUCAUUACGACCUCUCCGAUAACGUGGAUUUGCUAGUCUGUUGUUAGGUAACAGCAAUACAAAAUCUGGAGUUGCCAUUCAUCUCACUCGGUGAAGACUUUGGUGCUCGAAAAGAUAACAAGCUGAAACAAUAGGGACGUCGCUAUAACCGCCACCACGGUAUAACCAUUUUCGACGCGGUCCAAGAAUCUAGCAUCGACAUCACGCAACAUCGUCACUCGACAUCAGGUGCGUUCAUAGCUGACUUGCUUAUGAAAGAAAUGUAUCGAAAAUGAAAGGAGUUUGAGUUCCGGUUAUAUUUUUUGUUGAUUGUUGUUGUUCGGACAUAUUUGCAUUGCAUGAGAGAUGAUGUACGGUUCACAGUCCAUGGAAGAAACAUUUUUUCUAUUUUAUUUUUUUUCAGAAGGAUAAAUCCAUUUGUUUUUUGUAGCAGGUGUGCAUUAAAAUGAAUCUGUUUAAAAGGACCUGCUACUGUUUUAACUUUGUGUUUUAUUUAAAGCUUGAUCCAUUUUUUAUGUUAUGUAUUAGUGCUU